Molecule: ribosomal RNA, 546 nt
Filed under: Escherichia coli
Lineage: Bacteria; Pseudomonadati; Pseudomonadota; Gammaproteobacteria; Enterobacterales; Enterobacteriaceae
Description: partial 23S ribosomal RNA
Rfam family: Bacterial large subunit ribosomal RNA
Source: RNAcentral
UGUGUGUUAGUGGAAGCGUCUGGAAAGGCGCGCGAUACAGGGUGACAGCCCCGUACACAAAAAUGCACAUGCUGUGAGCUCGAUGAGUAGGGCGGGACACGUGGUAUCCUGUCUGAAUAUGGGGGGACCAUCCUCCAAGGCUAAAUACUCCUGACUGACCGAUAGUGAACCAGUACCGUGAGGGAAAGGCGAAAAGAACCCCGGCGAGGGGAGUGAAAAAGAACCUGAAACCGUGUACGUACAAGCAGUGGGAGCACGCUUAGGCGUGUGACUGCGUACCUUUUGUAUAAUGGGUCAGCGACUUAUAUUCUGUAGCAAGGUUAACCGAAUAGGGGAGCCGAAGGGAAACCGAGUCUUAACUGGGCGUUAAGUUGCAGGGUAUAGACCCGAAACCCGGUGAUCUAGCCAUGGGCAGGUUGAAGGUUGGGUAACACUAACUGGAGGACCGAACCGACUAAUGUUGAAAAAUUAGCGGAUGACUUGUGGCUGGGGGUGAAAGGCCAAUCAAACCGGGAGAUAGCUGGUUCUCCCCGAAAGCUAUUUAGG